UACGUAGGGGGCAAGCGUUGUCCGGAUUUAUUGGGCGUAAAGAGCGUGUAGGCGGCCAGACAGGUCCGUUGUGAAAACUCGAGGCUCAACCUCGAGACGCCGAUGGAAACCGUCUGGCUAGAGUCCGGAAGAGGAGAGUGGAAUUCCUGGUGUAGCGGUGAAAUGCGCAGAUAUCAGGAAGAACACCCGUGGCUAAGGCGGCUCUCUAGUACGGUACUGACGCUGAGACGCGAAAGCGUGGGGAGCGAACAGG
RNAcentral lists this ribosomal RNA (253 nucleotides) under uncultured bacterium. Its description in RNAcentral is "partial 16S ribosomal RNA". It matches the Rfam family "Bacterial small subunit ribosomal RNA", at positions 524 to 776 of the family's 1533-position model. The record is from RNAcentral.